UGAUGCAGCCAUGCCGCGUGUAUGAAGAAGGCCUUCGGUUGUAAAGUACUUUCAGCAGUGUAGGAAGGUGGAUAUGUUAAUAGCAUAUUCAUUUGACGUUAGCUGCAGAAGAAGCACCGGCUAACUCCGUGCCAGCAGCCGCGGUAAUACGGAGGGUGCGAGCGUUAAUCGGAAUUACUGGGCGUAAAGCGCAUGCAGGUGGUUUGUUAAGUCAGAUGUGAAAGCCCGGGGCUCAACCUCGGAAUUGCAUUUGAAACUGGCAAACUAGAGUACUGUAGAGGGGGUAGAAUUUCAGGUGUAGCGGUGAAAUGCGUAGAGAUCUGAAGGAAUACCGGUGGCGAAGGCGGCCCCCUGGACAGAUACUGACACUCAGAUGCGAAAGCGUGGGGAGCAAACAGGAUUAGAUACCCUGGUAG
This 416-nucleotide ribosomal RNA is filed under the name uncultured bacterium. RNAcentral's name for it is "bacterial SSU rRNA". It matches the Rfam family "Bacterial small subunit ribosomal RNA", at positions 384 to 793 of the family's 1533-position model. The record is from RNAcentral.